Molecule: ribosomal RNA, 3301 nt
Filed under: Paradilepis sp. MPOO-2018
Lineage: Eukaryota; Metazoa; Platyhelminthes; Cestoda; Cyclophyllidea; Gryporhynchidae
Description: LSU rRNA
Rfam family: Eukaryotic large subunit ribosomal RNA
Source: RNAcentral
GAGUCCGAUAGCGAACAAGUACCGUGAGGGAAAGUUGCAAAGUACUCUGAAGAGAGAGUAAACAGUACGUGAAGCCGCAUACAGGUAAACGGGUGGCGUCAAGCUGCGAGCCCGGGGAAUUCAGCUGACUAGGAUGUAGUGUACGCGCCUGGUGCGUCAAGUGGCCAGAGUAAGAUGGGUAGUUCUCUCCUCUGCUGGGAGGGAAGGCAACUCAAUUGUCGCUAUGCGGGCUGGUUUGUUGCCAGUGCAUGCUACUCGUCUGUUGGGCCGCCUAGUCAGUGCACUUUCUCCGUGGUGAACACCACGACCGGUGGCAUUGCCAGUCUACUGUAGUCAAGUUAUACCCCUCUCCUGUCUGGGUAUGAUCGCAGACGGAUUGAAUGAACGGCGUAGUGGUGCCUCGGUACUGCUGCGUGUUAUCGUGCAUUCGCCGUUGUAAACGAGGCCGGCGGUGUGUUGUAACUGCACUUGUUCUCGGCGGACUGCAGUGGUGAAAAUGACUGUGCAAGGCACCGGGGUUAACCACCUCAUUGAAUGGUAUUCGGCACGCACGUUACAGGUGCAUUGUGGUGUUGGACCUGACUGUCGUGUUGCCUACAAAAAGUAGGUCCGAUAGUGGUUGCAGACGCCUUGCAGUGUGCAGUUACUGUAAUACCGGGGGUGACAUAGUCAGUGGUGCUGUGGUAGACGAGCUACCCGACCCGUCUUGAAACACGGACCAAGGAGUUUAACAUGUGUGCGAGUCAAAGGGUCCUAUGAAACCCCGAGGCGCAGUGAAAGUGAAGUUCGUGCUGUGUGUACACACGCAGUGCAGCACGACGUGGUGAGAUCCCGCUGUUAGUCGCAGUAGCCCGCCAGGCUAAGGGCAGUGGGCGCAUCACCGGCCCGUCCCAUGAUGUGGUCAUAGGUGGUGGCUAGCCUGUGCGUCAUCGGGGCGGAGCAUGAGCACACAUGUUGAGACCCGAAAGAUGGUGAACUAUGCUUGCGUAGGUUGAAGCCAGAGGAAACUCUGGUGGAGGACCGUAGCGAUUCUGACGUGCAAAUCGAUCGUCAAACGUGAGUAUAGGGGCGAAAGACUAAUCGAACCAUCUAGUAGCUGGUUCCCUCCGAAGUUUCCCUCAGGAUAGCUGGCACUCAUUGGCAUAAUCAGUUUUAUCCGGUAAAGCGAAUGAUUAGAGGUGCUGGGCUCGAAACGAGCUCAACCUAUUCUCAAACUUUAAAUGGGUGAGAUGCUCGACUCGCCUAAUGUGGCGUGUUGUGUGGCGGCGGAGUCGGGCGUUGAAUGUGCGAGUGCCAAGUGGGCCAUUUUUGGUAAGCAGAACUGGCGCUGUGGGAUGAACCAAACGCUCGGUUAAGGUGCCUAACACUGACGCUCAUGAGAUACCACAAAAGGUGUUGGUUAAUAUAGACAGCAGGACGGUGGCCAUGGAAGUCGGCAUCCGCUAAGGAGUGUGUAACAACUCACCUGCCGAAUUGACCAGCCCUGAAAAUGGAUGGCGCUGGAGCGUCGGACCUAUACCGGGCCGUCAUCGCAAGCUGAGUCGCGCAGAGAAUGCGUCAUCAAUCAUGACUCAGGCAUGGAGUGCGAUGGCGAGUAGGAGGGUCGCCGUGGUGAGCGUGGAAGCCUCGGACGUGAGUCUGGGUGGAGCCGCCACGGGUGCAGAUCUUGGUGGUAGUAGCAAAUAUUCAAGUGAGAACCUUGAAGGCCGAGGUGGAGAAGGGUUCCAUGGGAACAGCAGUUGGCCAUGGGUCAGGCGGUCCUAAGCGAUCCGGUGACUCGGUACAGAGUUGUGGGGUGCCUUGCCUAUCUAUUUUAUAUGCUGGCAGCCCCUCGGAGCGAAAGGGAAUCGGGUUAAUAUUCCCGACCCUGCCCACGGAGAUGGGUGGUGACUCGGUGCAUAAUGCUUGUGUGUUGUGAUUGGGCACUACCAUGCGCGGUAACGCAAACGAACUCGGAGACGUCGGCAAGAGUUCCGGGAAGAGUUCUCUUUUCUUUGUAAGGACGGUUACCACCCCUGGAAUCGGGUUGUCCGGAGAUAGGGGUAUCACCUCCGUAAAGCACCACCCCUCUUGUGGUGUCCGGUACGCUCUUGUCGGCCCUUGAAAAUCCGAGGGAGGCAUUAUAAUUUUCGUGGCAGGCCGUACCCAUAUCCGCAUCAGGUCUCCAAGGUGAACAGCCUCUGGCACUAGAAUAAUGUAGGUAAGGGAAGUCGGCAUAUUUGAUCCGUAACCUCGGGAAAAGGAUUGGCUAUGAGGGCUGAGUCAAACAGGCUGGGUAACGAAACGUGUCUGAACUCGGCUUGCGGCUGGCUGAUGGGCAUGGCUUUGGGCCUGUCGGCUGGAGGCGAGUUGAGGUGACCGUGGGCGGACUCGGCUAUCCAUACGCCUUGGUUGGCUGUUGUGUGUGUUCUCCUCCAUGCGCUGGCCUCGGGGGGUAUUUGUUUGACAUGAAACAGCCAACUCAGAACUGGCACGGACCUGGGGAAUCCGACUGUCUAAUUAAAACAAAGCAUUGCGAUGUCUGCUGAUCGGUUUUGACGCAAUGUGAUUUCUGCCCAGUGCUCUGAAUGUCAAAGUGAAGAAAUUCAACCAAGCGCGGGUAAACGGCGGGAGUAACUAUGACUCUCUUAAGGUAGCCAAAUGCCUCUUCAUCUAAUUAGUGACGCGCAUGAAUGGAUUAACGAGAUUCCUACUGUCCCUAUCUACUAUCUAGCGAAACCACAGCCAAGGGAACGGGCUUGGCAGAAUCAGCGGGGAAAGAAGACCCUGUUGAGCUUGACUCUAGUCCGACUUUGUGAAGAGACAUGGCGGGUGUAGUAAUAGGUGGGAGGGCGGCUGUUUUCGGGCCGUCCCGACAAUGAAAGACCACUACCAUCAUUGUUUCUUUACUUAUUCAGUGAAGCGGGAUUGACAAUAUGUAUAUAUUGGCAUUGAAGCACAUGUUGGCGUGCAUGCGGUUGACAUCCUCGGUUGCAGCUGGCUGGCCAUGGUCCGUUGCCACUGCCAGUGUAUGCGACGUGCGACCCGAUCUGAAGACAUUGUCAGGCGGGGAGUUUGACUGGGGCGGUACAUCUGUCAAAUCGUAACGCAGGUGUCCCAAGGUGAGCUCAGCCAGGACAGAAACCUGGCGUAGAGUAAAAGGGCAAAAGCUCACUUGAUUUUGAUUUUCAGUACGAAUACAGACCGUGAAAGCGUGGCCUAUCGAUCCUUUUGAUGAUCCGAUAUUCAGAGUUUGAAGCAAGAGGUGUCAGAAAAGUUACCACAGGGAUAACUGGCUUGUGGCGGCCAAGCGUUCAUAGCG